GUUUAUUUACAUAUUCAAUAACUCUUCAUUAUUUUUAUCAUUUAGGUGAAACAUUGGUGAAUUUGAUUGUAGUUCUGAUACAACACAAUCUGAUGUAAAUUAUAUAGGUGAACUGAGAAAUGUCCAUGAACAACUCUGAGUUGUUCACACGAACACACACACUCACAUACACACAGACUGGUCUACAGCUACAAGCAGAGUCUACACUGGGGCGCCGCACAUCUACAGAGAGGUCCUGGGUUCCUUUACUAAUCCUAGUCCUUACGAUUCUGCCAUGAGAUGGAGAAGGCAGCCUCCAACCGAGAAGAUGGAGGCGAAGGAAAGCGCCGGUUCUGGACAAUGUUUACAGGGGCGCGGAAAGACCAACUCCACAACAUCAUGCCACGCUGAUUGGGUCCAUACCAGGUACAACUCAUCUGCUGUCCAGGUAGCUGAGAGAGGAACUUGGGGUUGAUGACACACGCUACAGGAGGGCUUCAAAGAUUAAAGGAGAACACACAGAUUCUCCUGGCCUGGCUGAUAAAGCAGCUAGAACGAAGACAACAGCUGCAUUGGAGCUAUGAAGGACAACACCUUAGAAUAUACAUCUGACUUUUACGUUCUGUUACACCGGCAAAGAAAUGGUUCACAACUGACUAUCUGACAUUUGGAGGAGCAGAACAUUUGGAAGUACAUCUAAUUGGAGCCCGGAGAGAGACUGAGUACUCAUUUGACCAUGCGGUGAACAAUAAGUAGGUUUUGAUUGAUAUAAUGAUGAAUUUGGAUUAGACACUGCAGAACCAGAAAACCUUUGUCUCUCUUUCUGGUAGGUUAAAAGAUUCAACCUUCUAGGAAUCUCCUUGAAAUUUUCCCCCUUCAUCAGUAGAACAAAAUGGAGAACAAAAGAGGAACAGUUGUUGUUAAGACAGGCACCUUUAGCACCUUGGAUGAAAGAUGAUGAGUCAGAUAGCGAGGUCAGAGAAGAAAAUCUCUUGUAUAAAUCAUGAUGUAUUCUAUUUUUUUAAACUUGUUUACAUUCCUUUCCAGCAAUCUACCAUGAAGAUUUUUUUACAACUGGUCUACAACAAUUGAUGUUUACAUUUGUCAUAUUUCUGUUUAGAUACCUUGACCAGAGCAUAAAUGGUUAUCUUCACCCAAGAGACCUACUGUUGGUCAAUCGUUUUGGCUUUAAAGAACCAGGUUUCUUCCCAGUAAUCCAGACUCCACUUCACAGAGCCAAGAGUUUGAGUACAACUCGUCAAGUACUAAGCUUUACACCCCCAGCAGCAAAUUUACCCUGGCAGCAUAUGGGUGAAAACGCUGGAGGAGAAAGUCAUCGCUUUGUUAUUUGCCCUUGGACGCCCCUGGCAUCUCUUGUACAGCACAAAGUUUUCAGCUAUGAAGAUUUCCAGAGACUCCAGAAUGAAAACCAAGCUCUGAGGGAGGAGAACCAAGCCCUGAGGGAAUGCAAUGCACAAGCAGGUGCGUAACGCGUUACCUGAAAGGAGCAUCUGACCGUGAAGGCAGAAAAAGGCGCCCCACAGCUGACCCCUUAAACCUAGGCUGACUACUGACACCCCAGCAUCACUGACAACUGGAACACUUUCUUUAUCCUGCAGUCAGUAACAUCAAGAAGCCAGAAGUGCCAGACUACACUCACC
This is a long non-coding RNA of Esox lucius (northern pike), 1640 nucleotides long. The record is from Ensembl. NCBI's taxonomy places the organism in Eukaryota, Metazoa, Chordata, Actinopteri, Esociformes, Esocidae.